RNAcentral lists this ribosomal RNA (253 nucleotides) under uncultured bacterium. RNAcentral's name for it is "partial 16S ribosomal RNA". It matches the Rfam family "Bacterial small subunit ribosomal RNA", at positions 524 to 776 of the family's 1533-position model. The record is from RNAcentral.
UACGGGGGGGGCAAGCGUUGUUCGGAAUUACUGGGCGUAAAGGGCUCGUAGGUGGCCAACUAAGUCAGACGUGAAAUCCCUCGGCUUAACCGGGGAACUGCGUCUGAUACUGGAUGGCUUGAAUUCGGGAGAGGGAUGCGGAAUUCCAGGUGUAGCGGUGAAAUGCGUAGAUAUCUGGAGGAACACCGGUGGCGAAGGCGGCAUCCUGGACCGAGAUUGACGCUGAGGCGCGAAAGCCAGGGGAGCAAACGGG